GCCGAAUCACCGGUUAGUACUCAGUAAUUAGUAUUAGUACAGUCAGUUGGCUUAGUAUAGUCAGUAGGUACUUAGUGGUUACCAGACGGAACAAUAUUGUGAUGGCUGAUGGGCGCAUAUAUUAAGUCGUAAAUUAUGCCAAUAAAGAGCACAGCACAGGCUGAACAGGCAUGUUCAGUCCACACAGCGUUUAGAAGUACCUGUUUGAUGGUGAACACCUGACGGUGAAUAAUAUACACGUAUAUAUUUAUACAUAUAUAUAUAUUAUAUUAUACACGCGUCACACCCUCCCACAACACAACGCACGCACGCACACAAUAUGAUAUACUGUGAUAUUUUCAAAACCCGAAUUUUGAGUUUUCACCCAAGAUUGCAGAGGAAUUGAGUGAAAUCGCCCUGUAAACGACCAUUGGCGCAAGCAGGUAGCUGGUAUAGCAUCAUCAUCAUCCCUUCUCGCUUGACUGACCUUCUACACUCAAUACAAAGGCUAAACGCGCGCGCCCACGCUCUUACUGCGUUCGGGGUCAGUAUAAGAUCGUGUUUUGAACCGUAGAAACCGAUUAAUGCGGACGUCGAGAGACGAGUUGUUUAAUAUCUUGAAUUCGCCACCAUGCAGGAAAUCCUCGAGGUACAAUGAAAAGUGACUGUACAGAUGAAACUACCUGUAUAUUAUUAUUAUUAUUAUACUACAGUACCCCUACACUGUAUACAGUAAGAAUUCCAAGAACUGACCGACCGCUACACCGUUGUAUAUGCAUUGAAAAGAAACCAACACAAUACUGCUGCAGUAUAAAUGUUUAAUACACACAUGUGUUGUUACUUGUUGCAGCCCCACAUAAAUAAUAAAACCAAAUAUACCACCAAUAACGUCGUUGAU
Molecule: long non-coding RNA, 877 nt
Organism: Metopolophium dirhodum (rose-grain aphid)
Lineage: Eukaryota; Metazoa; Arthropoda; Insecta; Hemiptera; Aphididae
Exons: 4
Source: RefSeq, a predicted model, not a curated record